Molecule: ribosomal RNA, 253 nt
Filed under: uncultured bacterium
Lineage: Bacteria
Description: partial 16S ribosomal RNA
Rfam family: Bacterial small subunit ribosomal RNA
Source: RNAcentral
UACAGAGGGUGCAAGCGUUGCUCGGAAUCAUUGGGCGUAAAGGGUAGGUAGGUGGUCUCAUUUGUCUGGGGUGAAAGCCUUGAGCUUAACUCGAGAAGUGCCCUAGAAACGGUGAGACUGGAGUCUUGGAGAGGGUCGUGGAAUUCCCGGUGUAGCGGUGAAAUGCGUAGAGAUCGGGAGGAACACCAGAGGCGAAGGCGGCGACCUGGACAAGUACUGACACUCAACUACGAAAGCGUGGGGAGCAAACAGG